This is a non-coding RNA of Coffea arabica (coffee), 1593 nucleotides long. Lineage: Eukaryota; Viridiplantae; Streptophyta; Magnoliopsida; Gentianales; Rubiaceae. The record is from RefSeq and is a predicted model, not a curated record.
UUUUAACAGCGUUAUCAAGUCGUUAGGGUGCCUGAGGCGGAGGAGCAAGUGCAGGGGAUCCAUCGGUGGGAGACCCUUAGAACCUAGCUAAGAUGGAAGAGGAGGUGAGGAUGCUUCUCCAGGACGCUUUUGGCGAAUCAUCGGAUGGCGAAGGCGGCGAUGAAGCACAAGAAAGGAAGUCCCAAGAUUUGAACAAGCUCUCGAUUUUUGGUGAAAUCCAAAACUGGGAAAGAAUUGACCAAAUUAAGGGCUUAUGGUUAUGCAGGGACUUCCUAUCUCCCGAUCAACAAUCUUCGCUGCUCUCCGCAAUCCAAAAAGGCACUUCUAUCAAUUUGUAAAAACCUUUCUAACUUAACUGCUUUUAUUUGGUUGUUGCGUACUAAGAUGAUUGUUAGCCGCUCGAAAAACUGGUGAUGGCAUGUGAGCUUUCGUAUAUUUUUUUUUCCUUGAGUCCUAAUACAAUUUUUAUGUUUCUUUAGAGUCGAAUCAAAUUAAAUUUGUUUGAGUUUGAUUAAAUGCUUAUUAAAUAUUUCUCAAAGGAUGAUUGAUAAAAUCACAAAAUAAUAAUUGAAGAGGGCUCUCAUGCAAGUGUUAUUUGUGGCUGCAGAAGGAUGGUUGAGUGAAUUCUCUGGAAAUCAGGUAUUAACACUUACUGCCCCUUAGUUCUUGGAAAUGUUGAGUUGAAUGUUCUGUAAUCGUCGCUGCCCGUUGACGGCUCUUGGAUUCUCACUUCCACUGGUUAUUGCGAAUUUGUAGAAAUCUGGUGCUAAAUGGAAGACCACACCUGUUUAUUUUCUUGUUUUAUUUAUUUGGAUGAAUUUUAGAAGAAUUGAAAUCGAUCAUACCCGUCAUGCCUUAAAACACUUCAGAAUUUGAUCUUUUGUCAACCGACUGCACAUUGUUAUUUGUAAGCUAAUCCGUUUCACAUUACUCUCCUUCACAAUCGCUCUAUUAAUGUUUCAGCAUAUAUGCAUUUUCUUUGUCGUUGAAGGCCAUGAGAUUUGGAAAUCUUCCCCAAUGGGCCAUUGAACUUUCCAACUCCAUUAAGGAGACUGUUUUCGUCAGUCAUUAUCUCUCUGAAUCCAGGAACUUACCAACUCGUGACAAAGGUAAAGAGGCCUACCCCCUUCCACCAGAAUUGUUAUGGAGGGAACCACUAUUUGAUCAACUUAUUGCGAACACAUACCAACCAGGGAAUUUGUGCGCAUGUUGAUCUGAUGCGCUUUGAUGAUGGAAUUGCCAUUCUUUCUUUGGAAUCAUCCUGUGUCAUGCACUUUAGUCUAGUUGAGGAUGAGUUAUCUGAUUAUAGAGAGGAGAAGGCGGGCAAAAAUAGUUCUUCUGCAAAGAUCCCUGUGCUUUUAACCGAAGGAUCGUUGGUCCUAAUGUGGGGAGAAGCACGCUACUUUUGGAAGCAUGAGAUUAAUAGGAAGCCUGGUUUUCAGAAGUGGAUGGGGCAAGAAAUUGAUCAAAGAAAGCGAACCUCUAUUACAUUGAGGAAGCUUUGCUAAACUACACCAUAUUCCGUGGUACAAUAUUAUUGUUACAACAUAAUCUACUCUUUUCUAUCUCGACUGCAGAUAACUCUUUUCAGUA